GAUAGCCACGGAUAGGAAGAUUAUCAGGAAACAAGUUUUGAGUGCAUGCAAAAGAAGUGGAUUGAACAAAUCUGUGUCACUGUUUUCUUUGCAAGGUACU
Molecule: non-coding RNA, 100 nt
Organism: Caenorhabditis elegans
Lineage: Eukaryota; Metazoa; Nematoda; Chromadorea; Rhabditida; Rhabditidae
Source: Ensembl